UAGGGAAUUUUCCACAAUGGACGAAAGUCUGAUGGAGCAACGCCGCGUGCAGGAUGAAUGCCUUCGGGUUGUAAACUGCUUUUAUCUGUGACGAAUAUGACGGUAGCAGAUGAAUAAGGAUCGGCUAACUCCGUGCCAGCAGCCGCGGUCAUACGGAGGAUCCAAGCGUUAUCCGGAAUUACUGGGCGUAAAGAGUUGCGUAGGUGGCAGAGUAUGUCUGUAGUGAAAGCGUGUGGCUCAACCAUAUACA
Molecule: ribosomal RNA, 250 nt
Filed under: uncultured bacterium
Lineage: Bacteria
Description: partial 16S ribosomal RNA
Rfam family: Bacterial small subunit ribosomal RNA
Source: RNAcentral